GGAGAGAUACUCAAGAGGUCGAAGAGGCUCCCCUGCUAAGGGAGUAGGGUUGUAACAGGCCGCGAGGGUUCGAAUCCCUCUCUCUCCGCCA
This 91-nucleotide transfer RNA is filed under the name Clostridiales bacterium. RNAcentral describes it as "tRNA-Ser". It matches the Rfam family "tRNA". From Rfam's summary of the family: Transfer RNA (tRNA) molecules are approximately 80 nucleotides in length. Their secondary structure includes four short double-helical elements and three loops (D, anti-codon, and T loops). Lineage: Bacteria; Bacillati; Bacillota; Clostridia; Eubacteriales. The record is from RNAcentral.